RNAcentral lists this ribosomal RNA (1111 nucleotides) under uncultured organism. RNAcentral's name for it is "bacterial SSU rRNA". It matches the Rfam family "Bacterial small subunit ribosomal RNA", at positions 240 to 1339 of the family's 1533-position model. The record is from RNAcentral.
AUUAGCUUGUUGGCGGGGUAACGGCCCACCAAGGCUGCGAUGGUUAGCCGGCUUAAGAGGGUGAUCGGCCACAUUGGGACUGAGAUACGGCCCAGACUCCUACGGGAGGCAGCAGUAGGGAAUUUUGCGCAAUGGACGAAAGUCUGACGCAGCAACGCCGCGUGAGCGAUGAAGGUUUUCGGAUUGUAAAGCUCUGUUGAGUGGGAAGAAAACUCUCCGGGAUAAUACCCCGGAGACUUGACGGUACCACUCGAGGAAGCCCCGGCUAAAUACGUGCCAGCAGCCGCGGUAAUACGUAUGGGGCAAGCGUUGUUCGGAAUCACUGGGCGUAAAGGGAGUGUAGGCGGAAAGGUAAGUUAGAAGUGUAAUCCACGGGCUUAACCCGUGACUCGCUUUUAAUACUGCUUUUCUUGAGUAUGGGAGAGGGAGAUGGAAUUCCAGGUGUAGCGGUGGAAUGCGUAGAUAUCUGGAAGAACACCAGUAGCGAAGGCGGUCUCCUGGCCCAAUACUGACGCUGAGGCUCGAAAGCGUGGGGAGCGAACAGGAUUAGAUACCCUGGUAGUCCACGCCGUAAACGAUGGACACUAGAUGUUGGCCUCUUCGGGGGUCGGUGUCGUAGCUAACGCGUUAAGUGUCCCGCCUGGGAAGUACGCUCGCAAGAGUGAAACUCAAAGGAAUUGACGGGGGCCCGCACAAGCGGUGGAGCAUGUGCUUUAAUUCGAUGCAACGCGAAGAACCUUACCUGGACUUGACAUGGGGGUGAAAGUUUUCAGAGAUGAAAACCCUUCCUUCGGGAACGCCCUACACAGGUGCUGCAUGGUUGUCGUCAGCUCGUGUCGUGAGAUGUUGGGUUAAGUCCCGCAACGAGCGCAACCCUUGUCCUUAGUUGCCAGCGGGUCAUGCCGGGAACUCUAGGGAGACUGCCUGGUACAACCAGGAGGAAGGUGGGGAUGACGUCAAAUCAUCAUGGCCCUUACGUCCAGGGCUAGACACGUGCUACAAUGGCCGGUACAGAGGGCUGCAAGACUGCGAAGUCAAGCCAAUCCCUAAAAACCGGUCUCAGUUCGGAUUGGAGUCUGCAAUUCGACUCCAUGAAGGUGGAAUCGCUAGU